GAUCCUGGCUCAGAUUGAACGCUGGCGGCAGGCUUAACACAUGCAAGUCGAACGGUAACAGGAGAGAGCUUGCUUUCUUGCUGACGAGUGGCGGACGGGUGAGUAAUGCUUGGGAAUCUGGCUUAUGGAGGGGGGAUAACGACGGGAAACUGUCGCUAAUACCGCGUAGAGUCGAGAGACGAAAGUGCGGGACCGCAAGGCCGCAUGCCAUAGGAUGAGCCCAAGUGGGAUUAGGUAGUUGGG
This 243-nucleotide ribosomal RNA is filed under the name uncultured bacterium. RNAcentral's name for it is "partial 16S ribosomal RNA". It matches the Rfam family "Bacterial small subunit ribosomal RNA", at positions 15 to 253 of the family's 1533-position model. The record is from RNAcentral.